This is an RNA transcript of Mirounga angustirostris (Northern elephant seal), 3410 nucleotides long. It is a transcript of the gene named sulfotransferase family 4A member 1, with no coding region annotated. NCBI's taxonomy places the organism in Eukaryota, Metazoa, Chordata, Mammalia, Carnivora, Phocidae. The transcript is spliced from 8 exons. The record is from RefSeq and is a predicted model, not a curated record.
CGGGGCGGGCCGGGAGCGGGCGGCGCGGCUCCGGGGCCGGGCGGCGGCGGCGGCAUGGCGGAGAGCGAGGCCGAGACCCCCAGCACCCCGGGCGAGUUCGAGAGCAAGUACUUCGAGUUCCACGGCGUGCGGCUGCCGCCCUUCUGCCGCGGGAAGAUGGAGGAGAUCGCCAACUUCCCGGUGCGGCCCAGCGAUGUGUGGAUCGUCACCUACCCCAAGUCCGGCACAAGCCUGCUGCAGGAGGUGGUCUACUUGGUGAGCCAGGGGGCCGACCCUGAUGAGAUCGGCCUGAUGAACAUUGACGAGCAGCUCCCGGUCUUGGAGUACCCGCAGCCAGGCCUGGACAUCAUCAAGGAGCUGACAUCUCCCCGCCUCAUCAAAAGCCACCUCCCCUACCGCUUCCUGCCCUCCGAUCUCCACAAUGGUGAUUCUAAGGUCAUAUACAUGGCGCGGAACCCCAAGGACCUGGUGGUGUCCUACUACCAGUUCCACCGCUCCCUGCGGACCAUGAGCUACCGAGGCACUUUCCAGGAGUUCUGCCGGAGGUUCAUGAACGACAAGCUAGGCUACGGCUCCUGGUUCGAGCACGUACAGGAGUUCUGGGAGCACCGCAUGGACUCGAAUGUGCUUUUCCUCAAGUAUGAAGACAUGCACCGGGACCUGGUGGCCAUGGUGGAGCAGCUGGCCAGAUUCCUGGGGGUGUCCUGUGACAAGGCGCAGCUGGAGGCCCUGAGCGAGCACUGCCACCAGCUGGUGGACCAGUGCUGCAACGCUGAGGCCCUGCCCGUGGGCCGGGCACAUUGCCUCUUUGCUCAGAAGACCUCCUUGCGUUGGUGAGAACGCAGGGCUUGAGUAGCCAGCCGCAUUGCUUAAAUUUGAUUCAUAUCACAGCAUAAAUUGCACUGUCUUGAUUCCAAACCCUAAACCAGGAAGAGUCGGGCUGUGGAAGGACAUCUUCACCGUCUCCAUGAACGAGAAGUUUGAUUUGGUGUAUAAACAGAAGAUGGGAAAGUGUGACCUCACGUUUGACUUUUAUUUAUAAUAACAGCAACAGCAAACUUGCAUGCUCACAGUACCCAGACACUCUACUAGCUAAAAGUCCUGUAUGCACUCAUUUGUUCCUUGCUGGACGAACUCCGGGAGCAGUGUGAGGCCCGGGGGAGGGAGGGAAGCAGCGGAGACGCUGGAGGAAGAGGGGGGCCUUGCUUCCGACCCAGAGCAGCUGUCUUGCCUUUGGGAUUUGAAGUCUCUACAUGUCUGAUUACAAACGUUAUAUAAAGAUCGCAGUUUCGAUGGCCUGUAUCAUAACUAUAAAGUCUGUAACAUAUGCAGCUAGAAUGUCUACCUUUUACAACCCCACAUUAUUUAUUGUAUUUUAUAGAGCUUUUCACUGGAAAUCUAAAUAAAUGUCAGUAAACCAAAUACAAGUUCAUUUCCAAGGGGACUCAGGAGCGAGCCACACCCGAAGGGUAGAAAGAUCUCAGGGCUGACUCUUUAUUUUUGUAGUUUUGUUCAGUUAAGGCACAGACGUUCUGUUCUCACCUGGCUCGGGAUGAAGGUGAAGACACAGGAUGAGUUGGGUGUGUGUGUGUGUGGGGGGCUUAUUCCUUUUGAUGAGUUCAGUUCUUUGUAACCUUCCUAGACAAAGCAGAGACUGUCCACUAGGCAUUUGCAGAAAGGAUGCCCCUCUGCUGGAGACCCCUAGUGGGCCGCCUCAAAGGCCCAAUCCAGAGGAACCAGUGGAACAUUCCUUGAGGGAACCUGCCCAGGGAGGCCGGCAGAUGGGCUCUAAUGCAGUGACUUCAGAGCCUGCCCCAGAGCCUGAGUGUGGGUGGAAUCUGAGUUCUCAUUCCACUAACUCUUGUUCCCUGAGGCAGAAACCUAUUUAUGCGGGCCAGGAGGUGCUUGACUGUAAAUUCCUAAAACUUUUAUCAUCAUUCAGUUUGUGCCGUCUGUACCUGAGGCUCUCGGCCACGGGAGAACCAUUUUGCAGGUUUAACGCCCUCUCUCACUCACACUGGUUGGCCUUCGUGCCUCAGCUUACCUGAGGGAGCAGAGGUGGUGUCUUAAUCGCCCCACCCCUUGCUUCACCGUCUGCCCACAUUUGGCUGGAGAAGCGUCGAGGCACGGCCAGGUAGCAGCCGGGCCAGCGGCCAGUUUGUAUGCGUGUUGCCGCUGUGGUGGGCCUGGGGUCGUCUGGAUACUUAGGUGGCCGGGAGACGCCCAAGGCAAGGCAGUGGCUGGAGGGUCGCUGCUGUGGAAGGGUCUCUGUGCCAUGUGGCUGUCUUGGAAAAGGUGCAGACACGCGCCGGGGUCUUGUUUGUAAAGGAGCAGCUUGAACAGGGCAGGUGGUAUGAGGCAUCGCAUGGUGGGUUUGGCAGCACCUUUCCUGUGUAUCUGAGGGAGGCCGCUUUCUGUGAAAUUUCUUUUCUAUUUUUCUAUUUUUAGUACUGUAUGGAUAUUCCUGAGCACCACACAUGAUACGUCUGUGCUUGCUUGCAUCUUUAAUAAAGACACGUCCCGUGCCUUGUGUUGCGCGUGUGCUGAUGGGUGGAGAGGGGCAGCAUUUCAGGGCAACGCGAUCGUGCGCCCCGUUGACACCCGGUCCCUGGGGCUGACCGCGGGGGGCGGGGGCACAGCCCCAUGUUGGUUUGGCUGUUUCACUCGGAUCUAAACAUUCCAAGCGGUGAAUCCCCCUCCUUUAUUUGUCCAUUCGUCGUUGCUAUUUCUUAGAAGCUGAAGGGAGGGUUGGGGGAAAAGGAGAUCGGGGUGCAUGGGGCCUGCCGAGAGCCCUGGGUCCCAUGUUUAACGCGGUUCUCGGCCGUGUAUGUGGAGACCUGCCCGGCUGAUUGCACUUGGCCACUUUGAAUUCCAAAGCUCGCCUUCCUGAUCCCCAGCGGUAGGAAAAUCCAGGACAUCAUUUUACCUGACAAAGCUGGGGCUUUCUGGAAAGCACGUUUAUUUUCAAACAGGCCAAUUCCUUUAGGUCUCAGGUGGAACCCCAGAACUGAUGUUGGUCUCCAAUUUCCCUGGACCCCAAGUUCAUCCAUGGAGUGCCCGUUCUGCUGCCCCAGAGGGGCUGCUCCCAGGCCAUUUAAAAAUCACCUGAAAUCAGGCAGAAACUGAAGGCCAAGGUCGUGAAUCCAGAGGCGGGCAGAGCCGUGGUUCUAGCGCUCAUUCCUCCAGUGUCCCCAGCCCUGCACCCUAGCUGUGUCACUUCCUUUCAUGGGUGCAUUUAUUCAGGAAACGCUUGAGCGCCCACGAGGCCCUGGCGCCGCUGGAGGCUCUGGGGUCCAGCAGGGACCGCAGAAGGGCCUGGCCCCCGUGGUGGUCAUCUCUUGGCGGGAGACGAAGUCCCCAUCACAAAACCUGUGUGAGUUUAAGCUCAGGAGGACUAGAAGGGACGUGGU